UGGGGAAUAUUGCACAAUGGGCGCAAGCCUGAUGCAGCAACGCCGCGUGAGGGAUGACGGCCUUCGGGUUGUAAACCUCUUUUAGUAGGGAAGAAGCGAAAGUGACGGUACCUGCAGAAAAAGCACCGGCUAACUACGUGCCAGCAGCCGCGGUAAUACGUAGGGUGCGAGCGUUGUCCUGAAUUAUUGGGCGUAAAGAGCUCGUAGGCGGUCUGUCGCGUCUGCUGUGAAAACCCGAGGCUCAACCUCGGGCCUGCAGUGGGUACGGGCAGACUAGAGUGCGGUAGGGGAGAAUGGAAUUCCUGGUGUAGCGGUGGAAUGCGCAGAUAUCAGGAGGAACACCGAUGGCGAAGGCAGUUCUCUGGGCCGUAACUGACGCUGAGGAGCGAAAGCGUGGGGAGCGAACAGGAUUAGAUACCCUGGUAGUCCACGCCGUAAACGUUGGGCGCUAGAUGUGGGGACCAUUCCACGGUUUCCGUGUCGCAGCUAACGCAUUAAGCGCCCCGCCUGGGGAGUACGGCCGCAAGGCU
This 530-nucleotide ribosomal RNA is filed under the name uncultured bacterium. Its description in RNAcentral is "partial 16S ribosomal RNA". It matches the Rfam family "Bacterial small subunit ribosomal RNA", at positions 355 to 895 of the family's 1533-position model. The record is from RNAcentral.